AGCGCUGAGCACUGCCCUGUUCAAUCAGGGACUGAGCUGCGGAGCCUGCUUCGAGAUCAAGUGUGCGGAGGACCCACAGUGGUGCCAUCCGGGGAGUCCGUCCAUCUUCGUCACCGCCACCAACUUCUGUCCUCCUAACUUUGCUGAGCCCUCGGAUAACGGUGGCUGGUGCAACCCGCCCCGCACACACUUUGAUCUCGCCAUGCCGAUGUUUCUCAAAAUCGCCCAGUACCGCGCCGGCAUCGUCCCGGUCAAUUUCCGCAGAGUGCCGUGCCGGAAGUCUGGUGGGAUCAGGUUCACCAUCAACGGGUUCCGCUACUUCAACCUGGUGCUGGUCUCCAACGUCGCUGGUGCUGGAGACAUUGUUAGAGUUAGCAUCAAGGGAACGCGCACAGGCUGGAUGCCGAUGUCACGGAACUGGGGCCAGAACUGGCAGUCAAACGCUGUGCUGGUCGGGCAGGCGCUGUCGUUCCGUGUCACCGGCGGCGACCACCGCACUUCGACUUCAUGGAAUGUUGCUCCGGCUGGGUGGCAGUUCGGGCAGACCUUUUCCGGCAAGAACUUUAGGGUCUGAUGGUUUUGGUGGAUUUGUUUUUGUUGUGGUUAUGGUGUUAGUAAGGAAAGAAUUAGGGUUAGGUAGUGUGUGAAGUGUGUAAGAGUUUGGGUAUUGAGAUGGGUGAAAUUAGUAGUGGGUGGUGGCUUUUUAUCAUCACUCUGUAGCUGAAGUGGCCGCAUAACCAAAAAGGGAGGGUGUGGCCCGCAGCAACUACAGGUUAUAUGUAUCAGACUUUGAUACAUUAGUUGUUGGGUUGAUGUUGUGUUAUGUGGUUUUGUG
RNAcentral lists this unclassified non-coding RNA (835 nucleotides) under Hevea brasiliensis (rubber tree). Lineage: Eukaryota; Viridiplantae; Streptophyta; Magnoliopsida; Malpighiales; Euphorbiaceae. The record is from RNAcentral.